Molecule: ribosomal RNA, 878 nt
Filed under: Diddensiella sp.
Lineage: Eukaryota; Fungi; Ascomycota; Dipodascomycetes; Dipodascales; Trichomonascaceae
Description: partial large subunit ribosomal RNA
Rfam family: Eukaryotic large subunit ribosomal RNA
Source: RNAcentral
UUUCGGGGUUGUGCACUCGCUGUUUACUGGGCCAGCAUCGGUUUGAACGGUGAGAUAAUAGCAUUGGAAUGUGGCUUAGCUUCGGUUGAGUGUUAUAGCCUUUGUUGAUAUCACCAGUUUGGACCGAGGACCGCGCAUUUAUGCUAGGAUGCUGGCGUAAUGAUUUUAAGCCACCCGUCUUGAAACACGGACCAAGGAGUCUAACGUCUAUGCGAGUGUUUGGGUGUAAAACCCGUACGCGUAAUGAAAGUGAACGUAGAUGAGGGCCUUUUACGAGGUGCAUCAUCGACCGAUCCUGAUGUUUUCGGAUGGAUUUGAGUAAGAGCAUAGCUGUUGGGACCCGAAAGAUGGUGAACUAUGCCUGAAUAGGGUGAAGCCAGAGGAAACUCUGGUGGAGGCUCGUAGCGGUUCUGACGUGCAAAUCGAUCGUCAAAUUUGGGUAUAGGGGCGAAAGACUAAUCGAACCAUUAACCUAAAGUUACUUGACUUAGGUCAGUUACUAGGUGGUUAAGAGGAAUAACUGCGAGAUUAUUCCUAGUUCUGGGAGACAGAGCGAGACCGUCAAAUUGCUGGAACACCCUAAAGACACAUAGUACUAAGUUAGCUUGGAAACGAGUUAAUGGUGCAAUUCUCCAUUGCAGAGUAAUAACCUUUGUGUAUGUAACAAUGGGCAAUCAGCAGCCAAGUCCUAAAGCAACGAAAGUUGUCACGGAUGCAGUUCAGAGACUAGAUGGUGGUCGGUGCACUUUUCUUAAAGUGUGCUUAAGAUAUAGUCCAAACCCAACUGAGAAGUUGGCCGUUGAUCAAAGCUAGAGUUGUGUUCUCCGCUGUGCUAAACAGUUACAACUCCCGCCCGAAAUCAAUGGGUUUGGUUCUAA